GUUUAUAUACCGAGCAGUGUGUCCUCCGGAUGGAUGUCUGUCCCUGAGGGGAGCAUGGGAGCGUUGAUGGCAUUCUUCCCCUCCUCAUGGAGAUCACUCACUGAGUCCCUUGUGUCGUUGCUGCCGGCACUUCACACCAAGUUAAACGACGACAACGAAUUUGUGGAAGCAAAGAUACUGUCACCCGCUGGUCCGGAGUCUGUGGUCCAGUUACAGGAGACGCCGAGGGCUGUGCGUUUGUGUUGUGUGUGUGUGUGUGUGUGUGUUCGGCACAGGAAAGUCCACACUGGACAUAAACGCACAAAAUCCUCUCAACACCGGUAACCUGUGGGCGGCUUGACAGUGGACAACCUGCAGGCCUGCCACGCCCCUCCAGCCGCUGAUGAGCAAAGCUGCGGCGCAUCAGGCGAUCAGCAUCACCUCCUCCUUGUGAUCCACAUUAGCUGUGUCUCAAAGUCGCAUCCUUGCCGC
Gasterosteus aculeatus aculeatus (three-spined stickleback) is the source of this 471-nucleotide long non-coding RNA. RefSeq lists it as uncharacterized. NCBI's taxonomy places the organism in Eukaryota, Metazoa, Chordata, Actinopteri, Perciformes, Gasterosteidae. The record is from RefSeq and is a predicted model, not a curated record.